This is a non-coding RNA of Mandrillus leucophaeus (drill), 574 nucleotides long. NCBI's taxonomy places the organism in Eukaryota, Metazoa, Chordata, Mammalia, Primates, Cercopithecidae. The record is from the annotation of a RefSeq genome assembly.
GUUCAUAAGUAAAAUGAAGGGUCUGUGGAAGGACAUAAAUAAAGCAUAGGAGGUUGAAGUCAGAUUUGCAGCUUUCUGUGCAAGAGACAAGACAACCUGCGUCUUCACAGGAGGAAUGGGCGUGCUCCUGGGGGCAUCACUGCUGAUGCUGUGGCUUCAGCCAGACUGGGUAAAUAGUCAACAGAAGAAUGAUGACCAGCAAGUGAAGCAAAAUCCACCAUCCCUGAGUGUCCAGGAAGGAGGAAUUUCUAUUCUGAACUGUGACUAUACUAACAGCAUGUUUGAUUAUUUCCUAUGGUACAAAAAAUACCCUGCUGAAGGUCCUACAUUCCUGAUAUCUAUACGUUCCAUUAAGGAUAAAAAUGAAGAGGGAAGAUUCACAGUCUUCUUAAACAAAAGUGCCAAGCACCUCUCUCUGCACAUUGGGGCCUCCCAGCCUGGAGACUCUGCAGUGUACCUCUGUGUAGCAAGCGCACAGUGCUCUGCAGGCACCUGCAGCCCAUACUCAAACCUGCUUUGGGGACUCAGACUGGGAGGCACACAGACUCUCUUCCAUUUACACACGGCAGUGUGA